CCUUAUUCUAUUUACAUGUUGCA
This 23-nucleotide non-coding RNA is filed under the name Rattus norvegicus (Norway rat). Lineage: Eukaryota; Metazoa; Chordata; Mammalia; Rodentia; Muridae. The record is from RNAcentral.